CCUAGGAAACAGCUGGGCACUUGCAGACCCUCCUUUGCACUCUGAGUGUGGACAACGAAUGGUGAGAGCCCUUGCCUCAGGUAAUGGGCAUAAUGCCAUUAGCAGGACCCUGCCAUUUGGAAACUGUUGAAUAUCUCCCAAUAAAUACACUACUACUGGGGUUCCUGAAUGUAGAGAUUCAGAAAGGUCAAGGUUCUGCUAUUCAGAACCCUGAAGAUGUGUUUUAUUGUAGAAACUAUGGAAUGAACCGGGCUAUCUAGAUUCUCCCUCCUAGAAUGCAGCUAAUCCACACCAGAUUUCAGUGUCAGAAUGGUUUAAACCUUCCAUAUCCAAUGGUACAUGCAGUUCACUCCUUCCUCUGAAG
Long non-coding RNA from Phyllostomus discolor (pale spear-nosed bat), 364 nucleotides. RefSeq lists it as uncharacterized. The record is from RefSeq and is a predicted model, not a curated record. NCBI's taxonomy places the organism in Eukaryota, Metazoa, Chordata, Mammalia, Chiroptera, Phyllostomidae. The transcript has 3 exons.